AUGCUUACUUCGUCUAGCUGUUUACUAAUUUGCUAUCGCAAUCGAUGCUUCACCUUUCGGGUGAAACUGCGCUUUUACAUCUCUCUCUCUAUCUCUCUCUCUCUCCCUCUCUCUCUCUCUUUGCAGCCAAAUUCUGUACGUGAGUUCGCCCGGGCAAUCCGUGCGCAAUCGCAAACUCUUGGAGAAAGUUCCCAGGUGCCCAGCGGCCACGGGAAACGGUGCACGAUGGACAUCGUGAUCAAGAUCUUCUACAAAAGCGAUGACCACUCGGUGACUGUCAAGUUAAUCAGAGGAGGGGCAAGCCUGGUGUUGCCAUUCAUGCUAUGCCUGCUGAUAACGGCAGUGGUGUAUGGAGGAUUCUUCUGGGUCCUCUCGUUCAUGGGUUUCCAAGAGACUGGGGUCGCCGCGAACAGCUUCGCUGCCUGGUGGCAGUCCACGUAUCCGAAUUGACACGUGCCACCAGGUAGCUUGUUCGCGAGGCUCCAGUCGCUUGGUACCGUGGGCCCUAACCGAAGAGACUUCCUCCUGACCCUCUUAGCCGUGUCGGCAGUGGUGUCAGCCAUGGGUUGACACCUUGGGAUGGCUGCUCGGGUGCUGCCAAACUUCCAAGCACGGCUACUGCCGCGACACAACAACUGGCAGCCAGCAGCCACGAGCAGCCACGCAAGCAGGGCAUCACCAUGGCCCCUCCCUGCGGAGCCUCUGCGUCACACCAGACCCACCGGCCCCCACCCCUGAAGAUGGACGUUACCAUCAAGUAUGUCAACGGCGAUGACAACAGUACCACCAUCAAAAUUCUCAGGGGUGGAGGGAGCCUGGUGGGGUCAAUAUUACUGUCUUUGGUGAUAACGGCAGUGGUGUAUGGAGGAUUCUUUUGGGUCCUCUCGUUCAUGGGUUUCCAAGAGACUGGGGUCGCCGCGAACAGCUUCGCUGCCUGGUGGCAGUCCACUUAUCCGAAUGGACACGUGCCACCAGGCAGCUUGUUCGCGAGGCUCCAGUCGCUUGGUACCGUGGGCCCUAACCGAAGAGACUUCCUGCUGACCCUCUUAGCCUUGUCGGCAGUGGUGUCAGCCAUGGGCUGACACCUUGGGAUGGCUGCUCGGGUGCUGCCAAACAUCCAGGCACGGCUGCUGCCGCGACACAACAACUGGCAGCCAGCAGCCACGAGCAGCCAUGCAAGCAGGGCAUCACCAUGGCCCCUCCCUGCGGAGCCUCUGCGUCACACCAGACCCACCGGCCCCCACCCCUGAAGAUGGACGUUACCAUCAAGUAAGUCAACGGCGAUGACAACAGUACCACCAUCAAAAUUCUCAGGGGUGGAGGGAGCCUGGUGGGGUCAAUAUUACUGUCUUUGGUGCUGUCGGGGCUCCUCGGCUUUGUGUUCAUGCGGUGCAUUCGGGCCAUCGGUUUCGAUCAACAAGGCAUCCGGAAUGGCAGCUGGGCAGCAUGGUGGCAGAGCGGCGCCGGCCCCAUCAUGCCAGGCAGCACCUUCGCGGUGCUGCAAAGCCUGGGCAUGACGGGCCUUAACAUCGGCCACUUGCUCUCCGGGGCAAUGCUUCUGCUCACCUUUAUGCCGUCCAUAGGCUGAGUUCCGGAAGUGGCUGCUUCACGUGCCACCAACCAUCGCGGCACGGCUGCUGCUGGCAUAGGCGAGAACCAGCAGGCAGAAGCGGCCACGCAAGAAGAACACGACGAUGGCCCGGACCCACCGGCGCCCUCCCCUGAAAAUGGCGUUCACAAUAAAAUUUUUCAUCAGUGGAAAUGACAACAGCAUCAGCAUCAAAAUUCUCAGGGUAGGGGCCAGCCUGGUGUAGCCCUCAUUUUUAGCCCUCGUUCUGACUCAACCAAAAUAGCCUGAGGAGGUACUGAAGACACAAGAAACGGAGUUGGGACAAAUUUCGUUAAGUGUAGAGCAGGUGGAAAAGCCGCAACCGUUGGAACAGCUUGAACUUCUGGCAUGAAAUUAAAUAUAAAGACGUUGCUCUGUACUUCCUGCUCCAGUAAUCGACCUUUUAGGGCGAAAUUAACGAAAAUAGAAUUUCGAAAGAAUGCUUUCUCUGGACUGAUCUGAUGAUUCACAUUAGGGUCACUCUAAAGAAGCAAGGACGCUUCUUCAGAAGCGAGCCGCUCUGUUGAUUCAACGCGGUUUGCGGCGGUAAAACGGUAACACAGCGUAGAAAGCCAAGAAGAUAGUAGUCAGUGUUUCCUGGUGCGUGCUGUUCUUGCUUGAAGUCUGUCCCAUUUUUCUGCGUCGUUUUACUGUCACGAAACACAUUUUCUGAGUUGUUAGAAGCUGCCCCGCACGCUUAUGUCACGUAACAGGAUAACACUUAGCAAGUGUUGAGGCUGGUAAACACUUGGACGAGGAGAACGGUGAAAAAUAACAAAAUAGCUCUUUUCCUUCCCUAACCCACGUUUAAAAACAUCCAGCUAACAAUCCGAAACGUAAUCACAAUUGCCUGAGAUCUGAAAAAGAAAUACGGAAGAGUGAAGCGUCAGCCAAACCGUUCAUAUGUUCUCGCGCAUGCGCAUAUGACACCCCCCACCUCCGGACCUCAUCAAGGGCACAGUAGUGUUCUGUCUCUCUCUCUCUCCCAUCAUACCUUUCCCUAUUUCUGCACGACGUCAUUAAAAUUCACGCAGUGUCACGACGCCACGUUAAUGUGAAUGAUGCCAGGUCAGAUGCUUCGAGAUCAACUUUAAUAUAACAAUGUGUUGCGCCGCCAAGCUAUGUGAGUGGUGGCGCUGGCUAGCACUAUCAUGGUUAGGUCUAGUAGUGAAACGUAACUAUCCGAGAAAGUGGGCGGGAAAACGGCGCCUUGGGAGCUCAAUCAGUAAGAGCAUCGCACGUGUAAUGCAAAGACGUGGAAUCGUUCCGCACCUGCGGCACGUCAUUUUUUCAUGCAGUUUCAUCUCCAGUUAUUUAUCAUUUUGUUUAAUUCUGGUCGUAAGUACAAAAAAUUUACAGUAUGCUGUAUGGCGUCUUUGAUUGUUAGCUUCUUAUGAUAUGAAACACCCGGUAUAUAUAUAUAUAUAGUUAUAUAUAAUAUACCGGGUGUUUCAGCGAACACUUUCAAUUUUUUUUAACAUGUUGCCUGAUAUAACUGAGUGUGUUGAAUACCUGCCGCGGCGGCCGCAUUCCGAUGGCGGAGAAAUUAAAGACGCUUCACACUGCGCAUUAACUGUCCGUUAAAAAAAGUCACGUGGUCAAAAUUACACCUGAGUUCCCGCUAUACGGCGUGCCAGGUUAUCAGACGGUGUUUCUGGGACGUAAAGCUGCAGAAUUUGAGCUGACCUAAUUCGUUGUAGGCUAAACAAAGAUUCUUUGGUAUUCUUCGGUGUACUGUGUUUUCAACGUUUCCUUCAUGUGCUCGUCCGCUGGAGCCAAAAAUUUUCGUCUACGUUAUAGUUACAAGUCGCCCAACAUACAGCAGCUUUAAAGAUUCUCCGACGAGGUCGCAAAAUCGCACUUGGAGUUCGCCUUUGACAUCGCAACUCCUGGGGCGUGACAGUGGGUUAAUGCGUACAGGGUUAUUGAAAGACUACACGCUUAUUGCAAAUGCACAUGCGCUAGCUUUCUCUGCCUAAAGUACGAAAAAGAUUGAGCAUUUAGGUUACCGCGCUCGGUAGAUAAAGCGUCCGAGCGAGCCGUCUUGAAUGCGAAGGGGUUCUCAAGGAGUCGGCGCACGACUGCAUAGGAAACAACGUAAGAGAAUUCGCAGGCGUAUGUAAGAGCAAGAGGCGAUGCCGUUUUGACUGACGCGUUUAAUUAUUUGGCUCCUAUCUUCGGUGUGUGUUCGUUCUUUAUUUACAGCUCACCUCACCAGGCGGCGUGCGCGCUCGCCCUAUACGGGCAGUUCUGCCAUAUUUCAACCGCACUAGUGGGAGUGGAGGAACCUUCACGACGCUGAGGAAGAAAGGCGAAUCGUGACUCGUUUUCGAGUGCCACCUGCUCGCAAGUGUAGCUGUCAGUGGCACUUGUCCCUGUCAGAUGCAAGUGCCGCGAGGUGCCGCUAGAAGGUCGGAGCGGUCACGCAAGCUCCGUGAAGAACAAAGACGGGGACGGGUGCACGAGCACGGCGGCAGAGGCGCGAGCUCGCAGUGUUCUAACCAGGCGGGCAGCAGUUCCGAGCUCCUGGAGGGAACUAGGCGAGAGUAACCUGCCAGGCGAGAUGUCCGUGGCAAGGUGCGGAUGAUCGCGGAGCCGAGCGUGGACGAGGACGUCCGAGGAACCAGCAGGGCUCCUGUUGCCUGUGCUCGAGACGCUGGCUGAUCCGAGGGCCGCCGGUCCCUGGGCUGCCGCACCUGAGCUGUGCCGGGCAGCGUUGCAGUCUGGCACAGAUACUGACACUGCCAUUACGCUGGUUAUCAACU
Molecule: non-coding RNA, 4374 nt
Organism: Dermacentor albipictus
Lineage: Eukaryota; Metazoa; Arthropoda; Arachnida; Ixodida; Ixodidae
Source: RefSeq, a predicted model, not a curated record